This 509-nucleotide ribosomal RNA is filed under the name uncultured bacterium. RNAcentral's name for it is "bacterial SSU rRNA". It matches the Rfam family "Bacterial small subunit ribosomal RNA", at positions 501 to 1008 of the family's 1533-position model. The record is from RNAcentral.
CUACGUGCCAGCAGCCGCGGUAAUACGUAGGUGGCGAGCGUUGUCCGGAAUCAUUGGGCGUAAAGGGAGCGCAGGCGGGCAUAUAAGUCUUUCUUAAAAGUGCGGGGCUCAACCCCGUGAUGGGAAAGAAACUAUAUGUCUUGAGUACAGGAGAGGAAAGCGGAAUUCCCAGUGUAGCGGUGAAAUGCGUAGAUAUUGGGAGGAACACCAGUGGCGAAGGCGGCUUUCUGGACUGCAACUGACGCUGAGGCUCGAAAGCCAGGGGAGCGAACGGGAUUAGAUACCCCGGUAGUCCUGGCCGUAAACGAUGGAUACUAGGUGUGGGAGGUAUCGACCCCUACCGUGCCGGAGUUAACGCAAUAAGUAUCCCGCCUGGGGAGUACGGUCGCAAGACUGAAACUCAAAGGAAUUGACGGGGGCCCGCACAAGCGGAGGAACAUGUGGUUUAAUUCGAUGAUACGCGAGGAACCUUACCCGGGCUUGAAUUGCAGAGGAAGGAUUUAGAGAUA